Molecule: ribosomal RNA, 253 nt
Filed under: uncultured bacterium
Lineage: Bacteria
Description: partial 16S ribosomal RNA
Rfam family: Bacterial small subunit ribosomal RNA
Source: RNAcentral
UACGGAGGGUGCAAGCGUUAUCCGGAUUCACUGGGUUUAAAGGGUGCGUAGGCGUGCUGGUAAGUCCGUGGUGAAAUCUCUGAGCUUAACUCAGAAACUGCCAUGGAUACUAUUUGUCUUGAAUAUUGUGGAGGUGAGCGGAAUAUGUCAUGUAGCGGUGAAAUGCUUAGAUAUGACAUAGAACACCCAUUGCGAAGGCAGCUCACUACACAAUGAUUGACGCUGAGGCACGAAAGCGUGGGGAUCAAACAGG